GUGCUUGCUUCAGCAGCACAUAUACUAAAAUUGGAAUGAUACAGAGAAGAUUAGCAUGGCCUUUGCACAAGCAUAACACAGACAUUUUUGAAGUAGUCCAUAUUUUU
This is a small nuclear RNA of Tupaia belangeri (northern tree shrew), 107 nucleotides long. The record is from Ensembl. NCBI's taxonomy places the organism in Eukaryota, Metazoa, Chordata, Mammalia, Scandentia, Tupaiidae.